AGCUUUUUGAGCUAAAUAUAUUAUAAUAUUAGUUAUUUAUAUAAAGUGUUGUAAAAUUUUAUUAAAAAAUAUAUUUAGGGGUGAUAGGCUAUUCAAAAACUAUGAUAUCUUGAAUCUAAUUAAAAGUAUGUAGUACAUUUCAACACGACUAUUUAAGUGAUAAGGCUUUAUAGAAAUAUUAACUUUUUUUUAUAAGAUUUUUUAUUUAUUAUAAUUUAAUAACUAAAUAUUAUUAAUAAAUUAUUAUUCAUUUAUAUUUAUUUAUAUGGAGUAUUUAGAUAAAUUUUAGUUCAUAUAAAUUCUAAUAAUGUUUAUAUUAGUAUAUAUUUUUAUUUUUAUUAGAUGAACUCGGCAAAAAUGUAUUUCUCAACUGUUUAUCAAAAACAUAACUAUGUGAGAAAAUACAUAGCGGUUUCUGCUCAA
This 423-nucleotide ribosomal RNA is filed under the name Mandarina sp. A AD-2005. RNAcentral's name for it is "partial 16S ribosomal RNA". The record is from RNAcentral. Lineage: Eukaryota; Metazoa; Mollusca; Gastropoda; Stylommatophora; Camaenidae.